RNAcentral lists this ribosomal RNA (901 nucleotides) under Halomonas sp. Its description in RNAcentral is "bacterial SSU rRNA". The record is from RNAcentral. Lineage: Bacteria; Pseudomonadati; Pseudomonadota; Gammaproteobacteria; Oceanospirillales; Halomonadaceae.
CGGUAACAGAUCUAGCUUGCUAGAUGCUGACGAGCGGCGGACGGGUGAGUAAUGCAUAGGAAUCUGCCCGAUAGUGGGGGAUAACCUGGGGAAACCCAGGCUAAUACCGCAUACGUCCUACGGGAGAAAGGGGGCUYCGGCUCCCGCUAUUGGAUGAGCCUAUGUCGGAUUAGCUAGUUGGURRGGUAAWGGCYYACCAAGGCAACGAUCCGUAGCUGGUCUGAGAGGAUGAUCAGCCACAUCGGGACUGAGACACGGCCCGAACUCCUACGGGAGGCAGCAGUGGGGAAUAUUGGACAAUGGGGGCAACCCUGAUCCAGCCAUGCCGCGUGUGUGAAGAAGGCCCUCGGGUUGUAAAGCACUUUCAGCGAGGAAGAACGCCUGUCGGUUAAUACCCGGUAGGAAAGACAUCACUCGCAGAAGAAGCACCGGCUAACUCCGUGCCAGCAGCCGCGGUAAUACGGAGGGUGCAAGCGUUAAUCGGAAUUACUGGGCGUAAAGCGCGCGUAGGUGGCUUGAUAAGCCGGUUGUGAAAGCCCCGGGCUCAACCUGGGAACGGCAUCCGGAACUGUCAGGCUAGAGUGCAGGAGAGGAAGGUAGAAUUCCCGGUGUAGCGGUGAAAUGCGUAGAGAUCGGGAGGAAUACCAGUGGCGAAGGCGGCCUUCUGGACUGACACUGACACUGAGGUGCGAAAGCGUGGGUAGCAAACAGGAUUAGAUACCCUGGUAGUCCACGCCGUAAACGAUGUCGACCAGCCGUUGGGUGCCUAGAGCACUUUGUGGCGAAGUUAACGCGAUAAGUCGACCGCCUGGGGAGUACGGCCGCAAGGUUAAAACUCAAAUGAAUUGACGGGGGCCCGCACAAGCGGUGGAGCAUGUGGUUUAAUUCGAUGCAACGCGAA